Molecule: ribosomal RNA, 253 nt
Filed under: uncultured bacterium
Lineage: Bacteria
Description: partial 16S ribosomal RNA
Rfam family: Bacterial small subunit ribosomal RNA
Source: RNAcentral
UACGUAGGGGGCAAGCGUUGUCCGGAAUCAUUGGGCGUAAAGAGCGUGUAGGCGGCUUGGUAAGUCCGCUGUGAAAGUCCAGGGCUCAACCCUGGAAAGCCGGUGGAAACUGUCAAGCUAGAGUCCGGAAGAGGAGAGUGGAAUUCCUGGUGUAGCGGUGAAAUGCGCAGAUAUCAGGAAGAACACCCGUGGCGAAGGCGGCUCUCUGGGACGGUACUGACGCUGAGACGCGAAAGCGUGGGGAGCGAACAGG